AAGGGAAUCUUCCGCAAUGGGCGAAAGCUUGACGGAGCAACGCCGCGUGAGUGAUGAAGGUCUUCGGAUCGUAAAACUCUGUUAUUAGGGAAGAACAAAUGUGUAAGUAACUAUGCACGUCUUGACGGUACCUAAUCAGAAAGCCACGGCUAACUACGUGCCAGCAGCCGCGGUAAUACGUAGGUGGCAAGCGUUAUCCGGAAUUAUUGGGCGUAAAGCGCGCGUAGGCGGUUUUUUAAGUCUGAUGUGAAAGCCCACGGCUCAACCGUGGAGGGUCAUUGGAAACUGGAAAACUUGAGUGCAUGAGAGGAAAGUGAAAUUCCAUGUGUAGCGGUGAAAUGCGCAGAGAUAUGGAAGAACACCAGUGGCGAAGGCGACUUUCUGGUCUGUAACUGACGCUGAUGUGCGAAAGCGUGGGGAUCAAACAGG
RNAcentral lists this ribosomal RNA (429 nucleotides) under Actinomycetes bacterium. RNAcentral describes it as "Actinobacteria bacterium partial 16S ribosomal RNA". It matches the Rfam family "Bacterial small subunit ribosomal RNA", at positions 355 to 776 of the family's 1533-position model. Lineage: Bacteria; Bacillati; Actinomycetota; Actinomycetes. The record is from RNAcentral.